AUUGAACGCUGGCGGCAUGCCUUACACAUGCAAGUCGAACGGCAGCACGGGUGCUUGCACCUGGUGGCGAGUGGCGAACGGGUGAGUAAUACAUCGGAACAUGUCCUGUAGUGGGGGAUAGCCCGACGAAAGCCGGAUUAAUACCGCAUACGAUCUACGGAUGAAAGCGGGGGACCUUCGGGCCUCGCGCUAUAGGGUUGGCCGAUGGCUGAUUAGCUAGUUGGUGGGGUAAAGGCCUACCAAGGCGACGAUCAGUAGCUGGUCUGAGAGGACGACCAGCCACACUGGGACUGAGACACGGCCCAGACUCCUACGGGAGGCAGCAGUGGGGAAUUUUGGACAAUGGGCGAAAGCCUGAUCCAGCAAUGCCGCGUGUGUGAAGAAGGCCUUCGGGUUGUAAAGCACUUUUGUCCGGAAAGAAAUCCUUGGCCCUAAUACGGUCGGGGGAUGACGGUACCGGAAGAAUAAGCACCGGCUAACUACGUG
Molecule: ribosomal RNA, 486 nt
Filed under: uncultured bacterium
Lineage: Bacteria
Description: partial 16S ribosomal RNA
Rfam family: Bacterial small subunit ribosomal RNA
Source: RNAcentral